RNAcentral lists this long non-coding RNA (429 nucleotides) under Mytilus galloprovincialis (Mediterranean mussel). The record is from RNAcentral. Lineage: Eukaryota; Metazoa; Mollusca; Bivalvia; Mytilida; Mytilidae.
UUUAAAGGUGUCAGACCACCAAUUAAAAGUCCCUAUCUGUUCAACCAAAUUUUGCAAUUUUCAUAGCUUUCUAAUUUUUUUAUCUUAAGUUUAACCUCUUACAAACCAGGUAUGUCCUGAAUCGUACAGGUAUCACCUUUCUUCAUGCCAAUUUUCAACAUACCUUUAAAGCCAUAUAAGAAAGAAGAGACCUUCCGAACGGAUGUACCACUAAAAAUAACCCCUGGUUUUCUUGAAAUCUUUAAUUAGUAUACUAUGGAGCGCAUUAAUCCUCAAUUUUUAAUGUCAACUCAUAGACAAGUAAAUUUGGGCUCAAAAUGGUCUUAAUAUAUUUCUCUUUCACCAAAAGUUUCAUUUCUGCAAAUUUGUUGGGUAGUUUAAGUAAACAAUGACAUCAAAUGCACUAUUUUUUGUCCGAGUAGGCCUACU